AGGGCAAAAGUUCAGCAUCAAAAUCAAUGAAUCGAAAGUUUUGUGCCGAUUGUGUCUGCGUCUC
This is a non-coding RNA of Caenorhabditis elegans, 64 nucleotides long. The record is from Ensembl. NCBI's taxonomy places the organism in Eukaryota, Metazoa, Nematoda, Chromadorea, Rhabditida, Rhabditidae.